RNAcentral lists this long non-coding RNA (251 nucleotides) under Homo sapiens (human). RNAcentral's name for it is "non-protein coding lnc-ANG-1:2". Lineage: Eukaryota; Metazoa; Chordata; Mammalia; Primates; Hominidae. The record is from RNAcentral.
ACCUAGAUGCAAAGCAGGAUUCAAAAGAACAUCUUUGCGUUUUCUACCGGCUCCCCAUCAUCGUACUAGGGAGGAAGAAGCGGGUGAGAAACAAAACUUCUUUCCAUUGUCCUGCCCGUUUCUGCGGACUUGUUCUGAGGCCGAGAUUCCCAGAUGUAAGGUAUUAAAAGUAGUUUGUAAACUUUCUGUGACGUAUGCUGAGUCUAUCCAAACUGUCGGGAAUUGGAGCCUCCCGGGAACCAAACACUCCC